Molecule: long non-coding RNA, 582 nt
Filed under: Bos indicus x Bos taurus (hybrid cattle)
Lineage: Eukaryota; Metazoa; Chordata; Mammalia; Artiodactyla; Bovidae
Description: lncRNA (ENSBIXG00000023088.1)
Source: RNAcentral
CUCCCUUCCUCACCCACCCUGGGUCAUUCAUUUUCCCAGACCUUGGCUUACCCUAUCUCCUUGCCUGAAUAUCCUCAGCAAAUCCUGCCAGCUCUUCCAGGCCCAGCUCCACUCCUCCCUUCUCCCCAGUCCGAGUGGUGCUGAGGAAGCACUGCAGGGUGGAUGGAUGUUUGGAUGUUAUCUGAGAAGCAUCUGCUUUGCAGAACCUCCCAGGGAAGGGGAGGGACUCCUGAAGAUAUUGAUUUCACAAUUAACCCUCAGAGAAGGAGUCUCUUUACAACCUCUUUCCUGGAGACUAGACUCACUGUUGAUUGCAUCACUUACAGAAACCCUGUCAAAGUGAGGAAGGCUCCUUCCAUCCCCCAGCUGUAAAAAUCCUAUGAUUUUCAUAAAACCAGCCACAGGCCAUUGGGAGUGUACGCUGUUUUCUAGUCCUCUAAUGAGGUGAGUUUAUUCUCCUGUGGGCGGCACACGAUCACAGUCUUUAGGCUCUCAUCGCAACUCUCCCUACUCCCAUCUGUGUGUGCUUAGUCAGCCUAUCUCCCUGAACCCCAGUCACUUCCUCAGGGUUCACAAGGUCAG